RNAcentral lists this ribosomal RNA (468 nucleotides) under uncultured bacterium. RNAcentral describes it as "partial 16S ribosomal RNA". It matches the Rfam family "Bacterial small subunit ribosomal RNA", at positions 28 to 507 of the family's 1533-position model. The record is from RNAcentral.
GUCGAACGCUGGCGGCGUGCUUAACACAUGCAAGUCGAACGGAAAGGCCCUGCUUUUGUGGGGUGCUCGAGUGGCGAACGGGUGAGUAACCCGUGAGUAACCUGCCCUUGACUGUGGGAUAACUUCAGGCAACUGGGGCUAAUACCUGCUAGGAGCUCCUGCUGCAUGGUGGGGGUUGGAAAGUUUCGGCGGUUGGGGAUGGACUCGGGGCUUAUCAGCUUGUUGGUGGGGUAGUGGCUUACCAAGCCUUUGGCGGGCAGCCGGCCUGGGAGGGGGACCGGCGACAAUGGGACUGAGAUACGGCCCAGACUCCUAUGGGAGGCAGCAGUGGGGAAUAUUGCACAAUGGGCGGAAGCCUGAUGCAGCAACGCCGCGUGCGGGAUGACGGCCUUCGGGUUGUAAACCGCUUUCGCCUGUGACGAAGCGUGAGUGACGGUAAUGGGUAAAGAAGCACCGGCUAACUACGUG